CCUUGUAACUCCUUCCAUCACUGAUGUUCUUCUGUACCGUUAUCCUGCAAACAAGGAACAGCAGACAAUGCAAAGCUAACAGUAUCCCUGGAUAGAGCAGGAUACUCCUCCACUUUGUCUCUCUGAUACUGCAACCUGGAGACAAGUCACUUCUCUAAUGAGGCUGUGCAAACAUCAUGUGUUCCUACGUGGAAAGAAGUGGAGAAGGCCAGGAGCAACAGGACACACAGGUAAUCCAGUGACACUAAGCCUGUGAGUGAGAUGGGACUUUUACCCCCUGGGAUCACUAUUGCAUAAACACAACUGCCACCUUCUAAGGGAUAACUGCCCUGACUGUCAAGCAUUCACAGAGAUUGGAGCAUGGUUAGUGUUACUCAGAGCUUUAGGUUGUGAAGGAACCACAGGAUAAGCUACUGAAUGACACUGCUAGAUUAAAUAUUUGCUGAUGAUAUUCUUUUUCCUAUCUUUCAAUGUCUAGCUGAGAUGAAUGGUUUAUAAUGAUUACUUCUGGAUGUAUUUCUGUAGAGGGAGAGAGGCACUGAUUCCUAAAGAUUGUGUUUCCUCAUUUUGUGUUUUAAAAGCAGAUAAAAUGGGGGAUGCUCCCAUUGUCCAGUUCCCUAGGUUAAGCUACCUUUAUAUAUACAUAUAUAUAUAUAUAUUUUCAUUUUUCUUUUUGGUUUAUCUCUUUAAUGUUACCCACUAAGACUCUCAGAUAUUGCCCCCCAAGCUGCAUUAAUUUUGGUACAAUAACCAGUUAAGAUAAUCCAUCAUUACUGGCAGAGCCCAAUCAAAUUAGGUCUUGUAAUGUCCCAGAGAAAGGUACAAUCCCAGUGGGAAAUGCUCACCAUUAGAGGGAUGAGAUAAAAAAAUAUGGAGGGAAGGGAAACUAGAGAAACAAUUGUGAAAAAUGAUAUUGCUAAAUGUUUUCUUAGGAAAUAACACUGAAACAAGUGAUUUGGAGGAAUUCCACAUUUGUUCUGAGCUAUUAAUUUGUCUGCACAAUGGCAAAGCUAGAGAGUCUAGGGGCCAAGAACAGAAACCAAAACCACUCUCCAAAAAUGUUGGGUGAAUUUCCAGGUAAGAAAUUUGCUUUCAACUCUAUUUACUGGAACACAGAAAAUGAUUCACUUGAUCACAACCAAAGGUCAGUUCAUAUUCUUAACAAUUCUCUGGAACUAAGCCAAAAAUCUGUUGAUCUUUAUCUCAUGUAGUGAAAAUACAAUGUGAAGAUGCCUAGUGAGGGUGGAAUCAACAGCUUACAACAAGAAAAGAUGGAUUUGAGAGAACAUGGGAUACUCAUGGCAGAGAGCUGAAUCAGAUUUCACCACAGAAAUCUUAAAAUACAGAAGAAAAAAAAAAAAGGGGGGGGCAAAAAAAGUUAGAUACCUUUAAAACCAGGGGUAGAAAUUUAUAAAGUAUAAGCAAAAGUCUAAGAACUGCCAGACUAAUUCUUAGCAAUGUGAAAGAUCUCAUUUUAAGUUAUGUGAACAUGAUUUUGGUAGGUUACCUU
Long non-coding RNA from Oxyura jamaicensis (ruddy duck), 1510 nucleotides. RefSeq lists it as uncharacterized. NCBI's taxonomy places the organism in Eukaryota, Metazoa, Chordata, Aves, Anseriformes, Anatidae. The record is from RefSeq and is a predicted model, not a curated record. The transcript is spliced from 4 exons.